This 189-nucleotide non-coding RNA is filed under the name Brevibacillus fluminis. RNAcentral's name for it is "Brevibacillus sp. CJ71 6S / SsrS RNA". It matches the Rfam family "6S / SsrS RNA". Rfam says of the family: E. coli 6S RNA was the first non coding RNA to be sequenced, but its function was unknown until recently. RNAcentral also lists the same sequence under 1 other name. Lineage: Bacteria; Bacillati; Bacillota; Bacilli; Caryophanales; Paenibacillaceae. The record is from Rfam by way of RNAcentral.
AGACUCCUGCGAUGUGCGUUUUGGCUUUUAUGUUUUUAACCUUAAGUGUUUCCAGGGAGACAGAACUUUUCGCGUAUGUCAGGCCCACCUCCGGUACGGACGCAUGGGAAGGCAAAAGCGAUGACGGGUCACCCACCUGUUAGUAACAGGUUAUAGAAACAUGAUGCCAGACGGCAGAGCGGGGCUGUU